Acinonyx jubatus (cheetah) is the source of this 1481-nucleotide long non-coding RNA. RefSeq lists it as uncharacterized. The transcript is spliced from 3 exons. The record is from RefSeq and is a predicted model, not a curated record. NCBI's taxonomy places the organism in Eukaryota, Metazoa, Chordata, Mammalia, Carnivora, Felidae.
GAGGAGGGGCCGGUCUCCUGGAUGCCCCUCCCCCUUGCUCAACCCUCCUGCCCACGACCUCACCUGGGGCCCACAGGCCAGGGGGCGCGGAUGAACACGAGCGGAUGCGGGGAAUGCCUCCCCUGCUCCAGGCUCAGCGUCGGCCCCCGGCAUGAAAUCCAGGGCUUGGCGCAGUAAAUAUUUCGUCUCGGAAGCUGUUCCCCUUUCUCGUUCUCGGGGACCUGAGCCUUCAUCUCAUUGGAUGGAAACCAAGAUGCCCACUGUGUGACCCACAUAGAGGGAAUGAGGACCUUUCCAGACUGCCUGAGAAAACCGAAACGUGGCCACCGAAAACACCACUUUCCGGGAGCCCCAGACUGGAAGACUGCAGGUGCUGGUGGUCAGGAUUUCAGCUUGCACCAAAACCUGAAGUCAGGAGUUCCUGGACUCCCCUGGAACCACAGUCCCCGUGGUAUCCACUGAAAACGCAGGCGCUGGUCCCCCUCCUCAAGACCCAGCCUCCAUUUGUAAAAGGAAUAGGCUCCAGGAACCCACUUUUAAGAAGCGGCCAGGCACGAGGGCGAUCCACAGGUCAAUCUGCUUUGAAAAAGACCUGACUGAAUUCAUCAAGGACAGAUCUAGGAAUUCCUUGUAGAUACACUUAAAAAAAAACUGAAGAUUCCAGGGUAACAUUUCAUAAUGUAGAUUCUCUACCCAUGUAUCACGAAUGUAUUCCUCCUGAAAUGUGGGACUACGUGGCUGAAACGCUCUGGGAGAUGACGGCGAGGAGGGAGUUAGUUUAAAACAUGUACGCUUGUCGAGGUGUGGAGCCGUUCCAGAUCCUGGGCUUGCUGAUGUGAACAACGCAGACUGCAGGCUCCUUUCCUGACACCUGAAGUCUACUAAGGUUAACUCGAAUCACUUAUGAAUCCAGGAGUCAGGAUCUGGCAUCCGGGGAACGAUGUCGCAGCAUAUGAUUCGGGAGAAGUCAGCAGUGCCUUAAUGUCCAUUUCCCUCAAAGCAAGUCUUCACCUGCUGAAAAGUUAAGGUGUCUGUCCUCCCACUCACUCAAAUCCUAGCCGAUUAGCUGGCUAUCCUUACUCCUCACUGAACCUAUUCAGAAUUCAAAUUACGAGAACCUAAAAUAGUGCCCCGCGUGGGCAGUCUUCUCCUACCAGCUAAAAAUGCUCCAAGCUCCUGCUGAAUCACCACAUUCAAUCACAUGGUGAUGACAAGAAAUUAACUGCAGAUGGGUGGCAUUUUAUAUUGACUGCCAUCCCCCAAGAAACGUACAAAGAAACGUCUCAAAUAGAUGAAGAAUCUCCUCCUGACGCAGAGAUCUCACGUCCAACCUAGAAAGACAGCGACAAGGCAUCCUGAGUCCUGCUUACCGGAGAUGCGUUCAAAGCAAGCUGAGUCGCAGCUGCAGAAGUGGACCGAUUCCCUUGGCGGGUGCGGGUUUCACCACUUUGUACCUAUAAAAACGAGCUGCUCUCCCAGGA